RNAcentral lists this ribosomal RNA (884 nucleotides) under uncultured bacterium. RNAcentral's name for it is "bacterial SSU rRNA". It matches the Rfam family "Bacterial small subunit ribosomal RNA", at positions 100 to 987 of the family's 1533-position model. The record is from RNAcentral.
GGACGGGUGAGUAAUGCAUAGGAAUCUGCCCGAUAGUGGGGGAUAACCUGGGGAAACCCAGGCUAAUACCGCAUACGUCCUACGGGAGAAAGGGGGCUCCGGCUCCCGCUAUUGGAUGAGCCUAUGUCGGAUUAGCUAGUUGGUGAGGUAAAGGCUCACCAAGGCGACGAUCCGUAGCUGGUCUGAGAGGAUGACCAGCCACACUGGGACUGAGACACGGCCCAGACUCCUACGGGAGGCAGCAGUGGGGAAUUUUGGACAAUGGGGGAAACCCUGAUCCAGCCAUCCCGCGUGUAUGAUGAAGGCCUUCGGGUUGUAAAGUACUUUUGGCAGAGAAGAAAAGGUAUCCCCUAAUACGGGAUACUGCUGACGGUAUCUGCAGAAUAAGCACCGGCUAACUACGUGCCAGCAGCCGCGGUAAUACGUAGGGUGCAAGCGUUAAUCGGAAUUACUGGGCGUAAAGCGUGUGUAGGCGGUUCGGAAAGAAAGAUGUGAAAUCCCAGGGCUCAACCUUGGAACUGCAUUUUUAACUGCCGAGCUAGAGUAUGUCAGAGGGGGGUAGAAUUCCACGUGUAGCAGUGAAAUGCGUAGAUAUGUGGAGGAAUACCGAUGGCGAAGGCAGCCCCCUGGGAUAAUACUGACGCUCAGACACGAAAGCGUGGGGAGCAAACGGGAUUAGAUACCCUGGUAGUCCACGCCCUAAACGAUGUCAACUAGCUGUUGGGGCCGUUAGGCCUUAGUAGCGCAGCUAACGCGUGAAGUUGACCGCCUGGGGAGUACGGUCGCAAGAUUAAAACUCAAAGGAGUUGACGGGGACCCGCACAAGCGGUGGAUGAUGUGGAUUAAUUCGAUGCAACGCGAAAAACCUUACCUACCCUUGACAU